UCCUCAAAAGGUUAGGAUGAGGCUAGGCAU
Molecule: non-coding RNA, 30 nt
Filed under: Rattus norvegicus (Norway rat)
Lineage: Eukaryota; Metazoa; Chordata; Mammalia; Rodentia; Muridae
Source: RNAcentral